CGUGUAGGCGGUUGGUCAAGUCUGGUGUGAAAGCCCGGGGCUCAGCUCCGGAAGUGCAUCGGAAACUAGCCGACUGGAGCGCGAUAGAGGAGGGCGGAAUUCCUGGUGUAGCGGUGAAAUGCGUAGAUAUCAGGAGGAACACCGGCGGCGAAGGCGGCCCUCUGGAUCGUUGCUGACGCUGAGACGCGAAAGCGUGGGGAGCAAACAGGAUUAGAUACCCUGGUAGUCCACGCUGUAAACUAUGGGUACUAGGUGUUCGGGGUGUUGACCCCCUGAGUGCCGCAGCUAACGCAUUAAGUACCCCGCCUGGGGACUACGGCCGCAAGGUUAAA
RNAcentral lists this ribosomal RNA (332 nucleotides) under uncultured bacterium. RNAcentral describes it as "bacterial SSU rRNA". It matches the Rfam family "Bacterial small subunit ribosomal RNA", at positions 568 to 898 of the family's 1533-position model. The record is from RNAcentral.